UUUAAUCACAUAUUUGAGAGUCAUUCAAAUGCUCAUGUUUCCGUUAGAACACUUUGUCACAAUGCUGAUUGUAAUCUGUCAGAUUUAGAAUGUUGGAAAAUUUGAACAAUACCAGCACUUUAGAAUUUAACUAACAGUAUUGGCAAGAAUCCAAUCAUAGCAGGCUUGUUAGAGGAUAGAACAGGCACCCCAGUAAUCCAUUUCAACCAAGAAAGUAUUUCAACUGUUGUCCAUUGAGAAAUGCACUGUUCAUCAGUUUAAUUUGGAAAUAUGAAGCAGAAAAGUCAAAAUUCAGCAACAAGACUUGAUGAUUGAUAUUCCAGUGGAAGAACAUUCUGAUUUUUGUUUCUUGAUUGUGUAGAUGAUGGAUUCCCUACUUGAACAGUUCCUGGACUAAAACAAAUGGCCCUCGUGGUAAUAUUCAAACAAACCAUAUUCCACCUCAUUUACAUCUGUGACACAUUGUAAGACUACUGCUUUAUUAUGCUGGUAAUAUACAUUAAUCCUAAUUUGCUGUAAAGAGUAUGAUGAGAACAAAAUAUUUUAUGUUUUAUAGUAACAUUUUUAUUAAUAGCCCCUAUGCAUUUUAAUGACUCUAGUAGUAAUCUUUGUUUUCUUAAAAAACAGGCUGCAUAUUCCAAAUAUGUUUUAGAAAUAUAUAUGUAAUAAACAUGGUUUCCCUCCUA
This is a long non-coding RNA of Pantherophis guttatus, 686 nucleotides long. RefSeq lists it as uncharacterized. The record is from RefSeq and is a predicted model, not a curated record. NCBI's taxonomy places the organism in Eukaryota, Metazoa, Chordata, Lepidosauria, Squamata, Colubridae.